GAUGCAGAAGAGUGAGACACAAGGCCACCUGGUGGAAGGGGCCAGCCAUCCUCACUGACUUCACCACCUGGAAGGAAGCUAUGGAGGAGAAUUGCCCAGACAAAGACAACUGCAUCAGACUUCGCCUCGUUCUCCUCAAGUACUUGUGGAGUGGUCCUUGACAUUUACAAAAAAGCUGCAGGAGAGACGUGCAAACGCAGUCAACAUGCACCAGACCAGCUCUCUGAAGAAAGAGUUAAUGAACUUACUGUUCCCUUGGGGAGUUUGAGGUGGUGAUUGGAGAUGCUUAGGUGAAAAUUCCUGAUGGAAGGACCCAUAUGAGAGAACAAUACAGAGGGGAAAAAUUGCAGGAACGUUCAGAUGAAAGGUUUCAGCAUGUUGCGUAUGCUAUGCAGGAAGUAUCGCCUAUCCCCAGGAAUUCUCUGUAUAUUUGAAUCCGUGCACAGUUAUGAUUUCAGCAAUAAAGUGAAAAUGAUUGGCUUCUUAUUGUAAUUAUUUAUUUUGUUCCUGUCUUUGUGAACAAGUACUGGGAAAAAAAGACGGGACUUGGCUCCAAUAAAAUUGAGGGUUCGAAUUCUGUCCUUAAUUAAUUAACAUUGUGGCCUUGAGAAGCUCUUCCAUUUCUCCUUACAUCAGCUUUCUCACCCAUAAAUGUGAAUAAAAUGCUAUUUUCCCACAGGAUGAUAUAGAAAAUUAGGCGAGUUAAUGAAUAUUACAUGCUUAGAAGAUGACCUGCAAUAUAGUACAUGUUGAAUAAAAUAUAAUUGUACAGUUCUCAAAAAAGCAUCUGUUCCAAAGCUGGCAGAAACUCUGCUUGGAUAAGUCCUAUUGAAAGUCAAAACUCUACUGGUGAUUAAGGAUCUUUCAAGAAUAAUUUUGACAAUACUUAGUUUUUAUUUUAGGAGCUGGCAAAAUAUUUAAAUACUUGCAAGUAUUCUGGCUUUUAGAAGUUGCAAAUCUUCACGUUUAGAUUUUUAUAUCACUCCAAGUUUUUUCCUCUUAGCAAAAGCAUAAAUAAACGCAGAAUAAAGGCUGUGUUAAUUAGGUAUACGUAUCAAAAACUUUGAGACUUUAGGAAAAGAUGGAAUUAUUCUCAAAAGGGCCACUUAGGCAUAAGGAGGCACUGAAAGGCCUUGGCAAGAUGAUAAGGGAUUAAAAUAAGUGGAACAAAAAAAAUGAAGCCUAUACCUGUCAUGCUUUUUAGUCUCAUGUUCUUUGUGAGAAAGUACUCUGCUUCUGCAUUUUAGGGCUAUGCAAGUUUCUGUGAGAUGUACACCUCCGAAGCUGAACGUUCUGACAACACUUGUAAGAGGUUGAGAUAGUAAAAGAAAACUGGCCUGAGAAUCGCAGGAACACUGAUGUAGAGCAGUGGGGGGCCCGGACUGGGGAUGUUGCUCUGAGCCAUGAUGGGACAGACAUAGAAUUAAGAAUCAUCACCCAAAGGAUUAUAAGUCAUGCUGCUAUAA
Cercocebus atys (sooty mangabey) is the source of this 1466-nucleotide long non-coding RNA. RefSeq lists it as uncharacterized. The transcript is spliced from 3 exons. The record is from RefSeq and is a predicted model, not a curated record. Lineage: Eukaryota; Metazoa; Chordata; Mammalia; Primates; Cercopithecidae.